GAGUUUGAUCCUGGCUCAGAUUGAACGCUGGCGGCAUGCCUUACACAUGCAAGUCGAACGGCAGCACGGGAGCUUGCUCCUGGUGGCGAGUGGCGAAUGGGUGAGUAAUGCAUCGGAACGUAUCCUGGAGUGGGGGAUAACGUAGCGAAAGUUACGCUAAUACCGCAUAUUCUGUGAGCAGGAAAGCGGGGGACCUUCGGGCCUCGCGCUCUUGGAGCGGCCGAUGUCGGAUUAGCUAGUUGGUGAGGUAAAGGCUCACCAAGGCGACGAUCCGUAGCAGGUCUGAGAGGAUGAUCUGCCACACUGGAACUGAGACACGGUCCAGACUCCUACGGGAGGCAGCAGUGGGGAAUUUUGGACAAUGGGGGCAACCCUGAUCCAGCCAUGCCGCGUGAGUGAAGAAGGCCU
RNAcentral lists this ribosomal RNA (408 nucleotides) under bacterium enrichment culture clone ALO1_GLFRUDD03F2LWM. RNAcentral describes it as "bacterial SSU rRNA". It matches the Rfam family "Bacterial small subunit ribosomal RNA", at positions 9 to 417 of the family's 1533-position model. The record is from RNAcentral.